This 497-nucleotide ribosomal RNA is filed under the name uncultured bacterium. Its description in RNAcentral is "partial 16S ribosomal RNA". It matches the Rfam family "Bacterial small subunit ribosomal RNA", at positions 28 to 507 of the family's 1533-position model. The record is from RNAcentral.
GAUGAACGCUGGCGGCGUGCCUAAUACAUGCAAGUCGAGCGAACGGACGAGAAGCUUGCUUUUCUGAUGUUAGCGGCGGACGGGUGAGUAACACGUGGAUAACCUACCUAUAAGACUGGGAUAACUUCGGGAAACCGGAGCUAAUACCGGAUAAUAUUUUGAACCGCAUGGUUCAAAAGUGAAAGACGGUCUUGCUGUCACUUAUAGAUGGAUCCGCGCUGCAUUAGCUAGUUGGUAAGGUAACGGCUUACCAAGGCAACGAUGCAUAGCCGACCUGAGAGGGUGAUCGGCCACACUGGAACUGAGACACGGUCCAGACUCCUACGGGAGGCAGCAGUAGGGAAUCUUCCGCGAUGGGCGAAAGCCUGACGGAGCAACGCCGCGUGAGUGAUGAAGGUCUUCGGAUCGUAAAACUCUGUUAUUAGGGAAGAACAUAUGUGUAAGUAACUGUGCACGUCUUGACGGUACCUAAUCAGAAAGCCACGGCUAACUACGUG